GAGACAGCAGUAGCCACGGUAAUACGUAGGGUGCGAGCGUUAAUCGGAAUUACUGGGCGUAAAGCGUGCGCAGGCGGUUGUGUAAGACAGGUGUGAAAUCCCCGGGCUUAACCUGGGAACUGCGCUUGUGACUGCACAGCUAGAGUAUGGCAGAGGGGGGUGGAAUUCCACGUGUAGCAGUGAAAUGCGUAGAGAUGUGGAGGAAUACCGAUGGCGAAGGCAGCCCCCUGGGCCAAUACUGACGCUCAUGCACGAGAGCGUGGGGAGCAAACAGGAUUAGAUACCCCCGUAGUCCCUGUCUCUUAUAC
RNAcentral lists this ribosomal RNA (308 nucleotides) under uncultured bacterium. Its description in RNAcentral is "partial 16S ribosomal RNA". It matches the Rfam family "Bacterial small subunit ribosomal RNA", at positions 505 to 807 of the family's 1533-position model. The record is from RNAcentral.